AAAGCUCAGCAUACACGGACUCACACAAACCUUUUGCUAGAGGCAGCUCUGUAGACUUAAGACGCUGUCAUUUUUCAGAAGAACCCAGCUUGCUUUGGAACUACAGUCAGCCCUGCAACCCACCCUCACCUUGGACCCUGCUGCUGCUGUCUGUAAAGGGUCUGGAUGAAGGAAGGGAGCCUCCAGCUUGUCGGCUGUACUUGCCCAGAAUUUAGCCUUUGCAACAUGGAGCUGCGGGGAUGGGAAAUGUUGUCCACUAGCCUUCCGUAG
This 270-nucleotide long non-coding RNA is filed under the name Homo sapiens (human). RNAcentral describes it as "non-protein coding lnc-AIFM2-1:3". The record is from RNAcentral. Lineage: Eukaryota; Metazoa; Chordata; Mammalia; Primates; Hominidae.